RNAcentral lists this ribosomal RNA (773 nucleotides) under uncultured Neocallimastigales. RNAcentral describes it as "partial large subunit ribosomal RNA". It matches the Rfam family "Eukaryotic large subunit ribosomal RNA", at positions 24 to 643 of the family's 3401-position model. Lineage: Eukaryota; Fungi; Neocallimastigomycota; Neocallimastigomycetes; Neocallimastigales. The record is from RNAcentral.
AUGUGAUCGUCUCUCGCAUAUCAAUAAGCGGAGGAAAAGAAACUAACAAGGAUUCCCCUAGUAACGGCGAGUGAAGCGGGAAGAGCUCAAAUUUGAAAUCUUAAAGGGUUUCCCUUUACGAAUUGUAGUUUAAAGAAGUGUUUUCUGUUGAGGUUUUGGUAAAAGUUCUUUGGAAUAGGACAUCAUAGAGGGUGAGAAUCCCGUAUUUGACCUUUACUUUCAACUUUGUGAUACACUUUCAAAGAGUCGGAUUGUUUGGGAAUGCAGUCCAAAAUGGGUGGUAAAUUUCAUCUAAAGCUAAAUAUUGGCGAGAGACCGAUAGCGAACAAGUACCGUGAGGGAAAGAUGAAAAGAACUUUGAAAAGAGAGUUAAACGGUACGUGAAAUUGUCAAAAGGGAAGCGUUUGACACCAGUGUUGUUUUUCUGAAAAUCAAUUAAAGAACUGUUUAUGCUAAGCUGUUUAGACUUUAUCAGCUAUCUGUUUAGUUUUGAGCCUUUCUUUAAUGCACUUUUCAGUUAACAAGUCAACAUCAAUUUCUUUUGCUGUAAAAAAGCUUGAGGAAGGUGGCUUGAGAUUCGUCUUAAGUGUUUAUAGCCUCUUGCCUAUGCAGUCGGAGAGAUUGAGGUCUGCAGCGUAGAUCCUUCGGGGCUAAAUGCAUUUGUGCUAAGUUAUAGCAUUUUAUAGACAACUUGUUGACUAUGAUUUGUCUUGUAGCUUACUCGCUUAUGUCAUUUUACCUACGCUUAGGAUGUUGACACACGCGCGUGCUCG